UACGUAGGGCGCAAGCGUUGUCCGGAUUUAUUGGGCGUAAAGAGCUCGUAGGCGGUUUGUCGCGUCUUCCGUGAAAACUGGGGGCUUAACUUCCAGCUUGCGGUGGAUACGGGCUGACUGGAGUGCGGCAGGGGAGACUGGAAUUCCUGGUGUAGCGGUGAAAUGCGCAGAUAUCAGGAGGAACACCUAUUGCGAAGGCAGCUCGCUGGGACGUUACUGACGCUGAGACGCGAAAGCGUGGGGAGCAAACAGG
RNAcentral lists this ribosomal RNA (253 nucleotides) under uncultured bacterium. RNAcentral's name for it is "partial 16S ribosomal RNA". It matches the Rfam family "Bacterial small subunit ribosomal RNA", at positions 524 to 776 of the family's 1533-position model. The record is from RNAcentral.